RNAcentral lists this transfer RNA (51 nucleotides) under Pandarus rhincodonicus. RNAcentral's name for it is "tRNA-Cys". The record is from RNAcentral. Lineage: Eukaryota; Metazoa; Arthropoda; Copepoda; Siphonostomatoida; Pandaridae.
AGCCAAAGUAAGGAAAAUUGCAAAUUUUUCAUUCCAAGAAAGGUUUGGCUU